RNAcentral lists this ribosomal RNA (332 nucleotides) under Pachypus sp. Psp2. Its description in RNAcentral is "partial 16S ribosomal RNA". The record is from RNAcentral. Lineage: Eukaryota; Metazoa; Arthropoda; Insecta; Coleoptera; Scarabaeidae.
CAAAGGUAGCAUAAUCAUUAGUUUUUUAAUUGAAAGCUGGAAUGAAAGGUUGGACGAGAAAAUGACUGUCUCAAUUUAAUUUUAAUUAGAAUUUUAUUUUUAAGUAAAAAAGCUUAAAUAAUUUUAAAAGACGAGAAGACCCUAUAGAAUUUUAUAUAUUUUAAAAUAAAUGUUUUUAAGUUAAUUUUUAUUUUUAUUUAAAAAUAUAUUUUGUUGGGGCGAUAGAAAAAUUUAAUGAACUUUUUUUUUUUUUUAUCAUUUUUUUAUGAUUAAAUGAUCCUUUUUUUAUGAUAAAAAAAUUAAAUUACCUUAGGGAUAACGGCGUUUUUUUU